This 1493-nucleotide small RNA is filed under the name Pongo abelii (Sumatran orangutan). Its description in RNAcentral is "processed transcript". The record is from RNAcentral. Lineage: Eukaryota; Metazoa; Chordata; Mammalia; Primates; Hominidae.
CCCAACCGGAUCCUGGACAGGCACCCCGGCUCGGCGCUGUCUCUCCCCCUUGGCUCGGAGAGGCCCUUCGGCCUGAGGGAGCCCCGCCGCCCGUCCCCGGCGCACGCGCAGCCCCGGCCUCUCGGCCUCUGCCGGAGAAACAGGUGAAGGGGGUGCAGGGUGGGGCCGUCGGGGAGGCCUGGGGACCCGGGGGCUCCGCAGCGGCAGGGGGCCUCUGGGACCUUGGGGAUGUUGUGAUGGACGCUGCAGUGGGGCGGGGAGAGAUGAAGAGACGCGGAGAGUCGCCCUGAGGGAAGACUCUUCGGGGUGACAGGAGCGGGCCUCGGAAGGGACUCGGGGCGCUGGAGGGAAGUUUCGUUCUUCGGAGAAACAGUGAGAACGCGCUCGAGGGGGCACCGUGGGGCGAGGGCGCACUCGGUUGCGGCGGCAGGAGUGAGGGACAGUCCCCCGAUUUCCUGCUCCCUGGGGCCCUGGGGACGUUCCGGCCACCGGAGCGACUGUCACGCCGACGGGGAUCACCGGCGCGAGUGGGGGGUCGGAAAGCGCCUCCUCCCCGCCUGGCCGGCGGCUCCCGCUGAGCCACUUCCUCCGCUUGCCCUGUUCCCGCUCCUUCAGGAGCCAGCUGUGCCCUUCUGGAGGCAGGAAUAGGUGUGUCUGUCCCCUGCAGCCUUACGGGCUGGCUGGUCGUGGGUAGGCUUUAUUGCAUAAGAAUCAAGUUUCCUGUAGGGAAAUUGACAGACCGGUACUCUUUCUAAAUUCCCUCCCAUCUUUUUCUAGGUUAAACUAUGCUCCCCCCAGGUCCCCGCCUUGUAAAAAAGAGAGAGAAAAAAAGACAAAAUAAAAUCCCCAUCAACCCGUCAAGCCAGCUCUAGAGAGAGAAAUAAACCUCUUGACAUUGUCCUUUUCCAAAUACCUGGUAAAGUCGGCCAGAAGAUAAAUAAUUGAGCCAUUGCAUUUACUGGAUUGUGGUGUUGCUUAAUUGCAUAGGACAGAAUGAACCAAUCGAGAGGGGGAGUUUUCUGUCUCAGAGCCAAGAUCUUGGGUAAAUGCAGAGGAGAAGGAAACAAAGACAGGCUGGCCUUGAAAAAACCAUGUGUGCAAACUUUACCUGCAUUUGGGGGGUGUGGUUGCACUGAAGUUAACAAGAUUCAAACUGUCGCCCAAGUUGGUAUUUCCAUGUUUGGUACACAUCACUCUGUGCCAUAUCAGGUUGUUGUUAAGUGUGGUGACAAAAUCAGUAGUUAGUCAUUUUUUUUUAAUUAAAAAUGUGUAUAGUGUGUACCUGCUGCUCUUACUGUAUGUGCAACUAAAGGUUUACAUAGUCUGUGUAUGGGUUGUAAAUUUUUGGCUGGCUGUGCUGAUAAAGCAUUGGGCUUGAAUAAAGCAAAGCAGAAAAUCAUCUCAGUCUUUUAUAUGUGGAUUUAGACUGUGUUAUGACUUGGUUCAGCCAGUUUUCUAUUUUAUUUUAUAUUAAAUAUGUCUGUGUUCUCUGA